UAUAACGGUCCUAAGGUAGCGAAAUUCCUUGUCGGGUAAGUUCCGACCUGCACGAAUGGCGUAAUGAUGGCCAGGCUGUCUCCACCCGAGACUCAGUGAAAUUGAACUCGCUGUGAAGAUGCAGUGUACCCGCGGCAAGACGGAAAGACCCCGUGAACCUUUACUAUAGCUUGACACUGAACAUUGAGCCUUGAUGUGUAGGAUAGGUGGGAGGCUUUGAAGUGUGGACGCCAGUCUGCAUGGAGCCGACCUUGAAAUACCACCCUUUAAUGUUUGAUGUUCUAACGUUGGCCCGUAAUCCGGGUUGCGGACAGUGUCUGGUGGGUAGUUUGACUGGGGCGGUCUCCUCCUAAAGAGUAACGGAGGAGCACGAAGGUUGGCUAAUCCUGGUCGGACAUCAGGAGGUUAGUGCAAUGGCAUAAGCCAGCUUGACUGCGAGCGUGACGGCGCGAGCAGGUGCGAAAGCAGGUCAUAGUGAUCCGGUGGUUCUGAAUGGAAGGGCCAUCGCUCAACGGAUAAAAGGUACUCCGGGGAUAACAGGCUGAUACCGCCCAAGAGUUCAUAUCGACGGCGGUGUUUGGCACCUCGAUGUCGGCUCAUCACAUCCUGGGGCUGAAGUAGGUCCCAAGGGUAUGGCUGUUCGCCAUUUAAAGUGGUACGCGAGCUGGGUUUAGAACGUCGUGAGACAGUUCGGUCCCUAUCUGCCGUGGGCGCUGGAGAACUGAGGGGGGCUGCUCCUAGUACGAGAGGACCGGAGUGGACGCAUCACUGGUGUUCGGGUUGUCAUGCCAAUGGCACUGCCCGGUAGCUAAAUGCGGAAGAGAUAAGUGCUGAAAGCAUCUAAGCACGAAACUUGCCCCGAGAUGAGUUCUCCCUGACUCCUUGAGAGUCCUGAAGGAACGUUGAAGACGACGACGUUGAUAGGCCGGGUGUGUAAGCGCAGCGAUGCGUUGAGCUAACCGGUACUAAUGAACCGUGAGGCUUAACCUU
RNAcentral lists this ribosomal RNA (990 nucleotides) under Escherichia coli. RNAcentral describes it as "partial 23S ribosomal RNA". It matches the Rfam family "Bacterial large subunit ribosomal RNA", at positions 1941 to 2925 of the family's 2925-position model. The record is from RNAcentral. Lineage: Bacteria; Pseudomonadati; Pseudomonadota; Gammaproteobacteria; Enterobacterales; Enterobacteriaceae.